AUAGCUUCCCUCGGGUUCGGUAGAACUCCUCGACUGGCUUGCUCAUCUCAUGAUAUAUGCGUAGCCUUUCUUUUACAACUUCUUCCUUGUCAUCAGGUCGAGUAAUGAGCUUUGUAGAGCAUUGUGAAGGAGGAGGCAGAGGGGCCAUGACUAUACCAGGCCUCCCAUUCUCGCUCUUGAUGUCUAUGGAAGCGACGUUGAAAUUCCCUCCACAUUGGCUGCACAUCCUUCUCCCAAGACAUUUUGCAACCAGUACAUCUUCUCUCAGCUUUAGAUUUACUACCAGAUCUAUAUCAGUGACCCCCUCCAGUAUUUCCGCUUGUCGUAGAGUUCGUGGAAAACCAUCAAGUAUGAAUCCUGAUUCACCCUUAGCUUCUCCAUUUUCA
This 386-nucleotide unclassified non-coding RNA is filed under the name Hevea brasiliensis (rubber tree). The record is from RNAcentral. Lineage: Eukaryota; Viridiplantae; Streptophyta; Magnoliopsida; Malpighiales; Euphorbiaceae.